Molecule: ribosomal RNA, 497 nt
Filed under: uncultured bacterium
Lineage: Bacteria
Description: partial 16S ribosomal RNA
Rfam family: Bacterial small subunit ribosomal RNA
Source: RNAcentral
GAUGAACGCUGGCGGCGUGCCUAAUACAUGCAAGUCGAGCGAACAGACGAGGAGCUUGCUCCUCUGACGUUAGCGGCGGACGGGUGAGUAACACGUGGAUCACCUACCUAUAAGACUGGGAUAACUUCGGGACACCGGCGCUAAUCCCGGAUAAUCUCUUGCACCGCAUGGUUCAAUAGUGAAAGACGGUUUUGCUGUCUCUUCUCGCUGGUUCCGCGCCGCAUUAGCUAGUUGGUAAGGUCACGGCUUACCACGGCAACGAUGCGUAGCCGACCGGUGUGGGUGAUCGGCCACACGGGAACGGAGACGCGGACCAGACGCCUGCGGGAGGCAGCAGUAGGGAAUCUUCCGCAAUGGGCGAGAGCCUGACGGAGCAACGCCGCGUGAGUGAUGAAGGUCUUCGGAGCGUAAAACUCGGUUAUUAGGGAAGAACAGAUGUGUAAGUAACUAUGCACGUCGUGACGGUACCUAAUCAGAAAGCCACGGCUAACUACGUG